GGACUACUGGGGUAUCUAAUCCUGUUUGCUCCCCACGCUUUCGUGCCUGAACGUCGGUGCUGGACCAGGAAGCCGCUUUCGCCACUGGUGUUCCUUCCGAUAUCUACGCAUUUCACCGCUACACCGGAAAUUCCGCUUCCCUCUUCCGCACCCUAGCUAUGCAGUCUCGAAUGGCAUUCCCAGGUUGAGCCCGGGGCUUUCACACCCGACUUACAUAACCGUCUACGCACGCUUUACGCCCAGUAAUUCCGAUUAACGCUCGCACCCUCUGUAUUACCGCGGCUGCUGGCAC
This 292-nucleotide ribosomal RNA is filed under the name uncultured bacterium. Its description in RNAcentral is "partial 16S ribosomal RNA". RNAcentral also lists the same sequence under 1 other name. The record is from RNAcentral.